CUUUACCUCUAAAGGGUUAACAAAGUUCCCCAGGUAAAGGAAAAGGAGUGGGCACCUGACCAAAAAAGGCAAUGGGAGGGCUAGAACUUUUUAAAAUGGGGAAAAACAACCUUCCCUUUGUCUGUAUGUUGUGGUUCUCCGGGAAAGAGCGGAGACACAGAGCAGGAAUGCUGUAAGCAGCUUUAAAACCAGGUAUGAAAAAACAUCAAAUCAUACCUCAACCCUACUGAUCUGAAACUCCAAAUGUGCCCACGGUGCAGAAGCAGUGAAGGGUUGCAAGAGUUGCGUGGUUCACUUCUAACUGAGUGGGGGACUUGAGAAGACAAUCGUCCAGAUAAAGAAAUAUGAGGACUCCUUUUUUUCUGAGAUGUGCUAUUACAACUCCUAGCACCUUUGAGAAGACACGUGGUGCAGUGGAGAGGCCAAAUGGGAGGACUCUGUAUUGGUAGUGCUGUGUUCUCACGGCAAACCUGGGGAAACAUCGAUGGUCAGGGUGUUUGGAUGCCUAAGGAUUGGAGUGUGGCAUGUGAGUCCUUCAUGGAGUGAAGGAUCUCAUUGGUUGUAGAGGUGAAGAGCUUAUCUCCAUCAAAGGGGAGAUCUUUGACAGUAUUCUGUAUCUCCUUUUGAAAGGAGGAAGAAGCAAACCCUGAGGCCCACCGCAUGAUGACGGCUGUGGCUGUGGAUCUGACAACUGCGUCCGCAACAUCGAGGGCAGCUUGAAGAGCUGUCCAGGAGAUCAGUUGGCCCUCGGAUAACACUGCUUUAAACUGUUGUUGUUUACCCUCUGACACAUCAUCAACAAAUUGCAUUACUUUAGCAUAAUUUUUGUGGUCAUAUUUUGCUAAGAGCGCCGCAUAGUUUGCUACUUUAAAUUGCAAAGUGGAAGAAUAAUACACUUAGCGGCCGAAGGAGUCCAGUCUCUUGUUAUCUUUGUCAGAUGGGGUGGAUUGGAAGUGUUGGUAUUUAUUUUUCUGGUUGGCCAUGUUGACCACUAGCGAAUUAGGUGAGGGGUGCAUAAAUAGAAACUCAGAACCCUUAGAUGGGACAAAAUAUUUGCGAUCCAGUCUCUUGCUAGUGGGCGUUAUUGUGGCUGGGGUCUGCCAAAUAGUUUUAGCAGGUUCCAUAAUGGCCCCAUUGAUUGGUAGGGCUAUUUUGGAGGAGAUUGUAGCUUGCAAGAUGUCGGUAAGCUCAUGGUGUGUUUCAGGUGUCUCCUUCAGGGUAAUCUUCAGCUCCUCCACUACUCUUUUAAACAACUCUUGAAAAUGAGUGAGCUCAUCAAUAGUGGGAGGUGGUGGGGGUACCAUGGCAUCUUGUGGUAGUAUCACUGUAGAGGAGGUGUGCGGGGUAGUGUCCUCUGUAGGGGUGGCGGCCACUUCAGGUCUUAUCUGGGUUUCAGUGUAAGCUGGCAGUGGGGAGGGUCUGACAACUUUCCUCCUGGCAGCCCGCGGAGUGUGUUGUGGUGUAGGCCCAUGGACCCCAGUGUGGCGAUUGCCCAGGUGGGCGGGCAUAGGUGGUCCCAUCCAGGGAUUGCUAUACUAGUGAGGAUAGCCAUGAGGAUAUGGAGAAUGUGCUUUAAUGCAUCUCCCAGUUGCAGGUAAUGAACCUGGGAAGAAUACUCGAGAGGAAAACAUCUGUUCAUCAUAUUCUUCUUCCUCCUCCUCAUCCUCAUUGGAGAGGCUUGAUGUAGUAGGAGAGUAUUGAAGGUGCUGAAGGUCUCGGUGAUACACUAGUGCCGAGGAGACUCAGGGGAGUGGGACACCCUUAAUUUUUCUGGCUGUAAAAACUGAGGUGGAGCUGACUGACCAGGAGCUUGUGCCGGUGUAGAUGGCGGAGGCAGAGUCUGCUGGGGCAUCUGCUGAUGCACUGAAGGGUGUCCCGGGGGUGCAUGCUGCCUCAGAGGAGUAGGUGCCCCUGAGAUAGGUACUGUAAGGGAGGCUGGAGACCUCAGGAGGCUCGGUUCCGAGAGCGUCGGCUGCAAAAGCGAUUCCGCAUGAUCAAAGGACGGUGCCACGGCCACUGCCUGUGUUCUCGGCACCAUAGCAACAAUUGACACCAUAGUGACAGAGGUGGCCGAAGGAGAGCAGAAAGAGGUGGGCAACUGAAAGCCCUGCGCCUCGGCACCAGGUAGUGGGACAGCCGACUCACGGUCAGUCCUGAGGUGCCUGCCGAGUUAAAGGUACUGAGCCGCGGAGCGGCAGUUACCGGAAACAGGAGAGCCGGUUUUAACUUAUUCCCCGAGGAGCGGUCCCUGAGUGGGGAGGAAGCUGGCCUUUUUUUGCUUUGGCUUUGCCUCUGGAGAGUGUCACAGAGGUUUGCUGGCCAGGGUCAGAUGCAGGUCUGAGAGAGUUUUCCUGGAGGAGCAUUGUAAGUCUGAGCUCCCUGUCUUUGGGGGUCCAUGCUUUCAGUUUGGCAUCGUCGGUGCAUUUUUUGGGU
Chelonia mydas (Green sea turtle) is the source of this 2433-nucleotide long non-coding RNA. RefSeq lists it as uncharacterized. The record is from RefSeq and is a predicted model, not a curated record. Lineage: Eukaryota; Metazoa; Chordata; Testudines; Cheloniidae. The transcript is spliced from 3 exons.